This 492-nucleotide ribosomal RNA is filed under the name uncultured bacterium. RNAcentral describes it as "partial 16S ribosomal RNA". It matches the Rfam family "Bacterial small subunit ribosomal RNA", at positions 29 to 507 of the family's 1533-position model. The record is from RNAcentral.
ACGAACGCUGGCGGCGUGCUUAACACAUGCAAGUCGAACGGAAAGGCCUGCUUUCCCUUGUGGAUUGCGGGUACUCGAGUGGCGAACGGGUGAGUAACACGUGAGUGAUCUGCCCCCAACUUGGGUAUAAGCCUGGGAAACUGGGUCUAAUUCCCGAUAGGACUGCAGGGUGGUGCCUGUGGUGGAAAACGAUUUUCUAGUGGUUGGGGAUGAGCUCGCGGCCUAUCAGCUUGUUGGUGGGGUAAUGGCCUACCAAGGCGGCGACGGGUAGCCGGCCUGAGAGGGUGGACGGCCACAUUGGGACUGAGAUACGGCCCAGACUCCUACGGAGGCAGCAGUGGGGAAUAUUGCACAAUGGGCGGAAGCCUGAUGCAGCGACGCCGCGUGGGGGAUGACGGCCUUCGGGUUGUAAACUCCUUUCGACCGCGAGGAAGCCACCUGGUUGGAAGGGUGGUGACGGUAGUGGUAGAAGAAGCACCGGCUAACUACGUG